GGGUUGUGAGGUUAAGCGACUAAGCGUACACGGUGGAUGCCCUGGCAGUCAGAGGCGAUGAAGGACGUGCUAAUCUGCGAUAAGCGUCGGUAAGGUGAUAUGAACCGUUAUAACCGGCGAUUUCCGAAUGGGGAAACCCAGUGUGUUUCGACACACUAUCAUUAACUGAAUCCAUAGGUUAAUGAGGCGAACCGGGGGAACUGAAACAUCUAAGUACCCCGAGGAAAAGAAAUCAACCGAGAUUCCCCCAGUAGCGGCGAGCGAACGGGGAGCAGCCCAGAGCCUGAAUCAGUUGUGAGCUCGAUGAGUAGGGCGGGACACGUGGUAUCCUGUCUGAAUAUGGGGGGACCAUCCUCCAAGGCUAAAUACUCCUGACUGACCGAUAGUGAACCAGUACCGUGAGGGAAAGGCGAAAAGAACCCCGGCGAGGGGAGUGAAAAAGAACCUGAAACCGUGUACGUACAAGCAGUGGGAGCACGCUUAGGCGUGUGACUGCGUACCUUUUGUAUAAUGGGUCAGCGACUUAUAUUCUGUAGCAAGGUUAACCGAAUAGGGGAGCCGAAGGGAAACCGAGUCUUAACUGGGCGUUAAGUUGCAGGGUAUAGACCCGAAACCCGGUGAUCUAGCCAUGGGCAGGUUGAAGGUUGGGUAACACUAACUGGAGGACCGAACCGACUAAUGUUGAAAAAUUAGCGGAUGACUUGUGGCUGGGGGUGAAAGGCCAAUCAAACCGGGAGAUAGCUGGUUCUCCCCGAAAGCUAUUUAGGUAGCGCCUCGUGAAUUCAUCUCCGGGGGUAGAGCACUGUUUCGGCAAGGGGGUCAUCCCGACUUACCAACCCGAUGCAAACUGCGAAUACCGGAGAAUGUUAUCACGGGAGACACACGGCGGGUGCUAACGUCCGUCGUGAAGAGGGAAACAACCCAGACCGCCAGCUAAGGUCCCAAAGUCAUGGUUAAGUGGGAAACGAUGUGGGAAGGCCCAGACAGCCAGGAUGUUGGCUUAGAAGCAGCCAUCAUUUAAAGAAAGCGUAAUAGCUCACUGGUCGAGUCGGCCUGCGCGGAAGAUGUAACGGGGCUAAACCAUGCACCGAAGCUGCGGCAGCGACACUAUGUGUUGUUGGGUAGGGGAGCGUUCUGUAAGCCUGUGAAGGUGUGCUGUGAGGCAUGCUGGAGGUAUCAGAAGUGCGAAUGCUGACAUAAGUAACGAUAAAGCGGGUGAAAAGCCCGCUCGCCGGAAGACCAAGGGUUCCUGUCCAACGUUAAUCGGGGCAGGGUGAGUCGACCCCUAAGGCGAGGCCGAAAGGCGUAGUCGAUGGGAAACAGGUUAAUAUUCCUGUACUUGGUGUUACUGCGAAGGGGGGACGGAGAAGGCUAUGUUGGCCGGGCGACGGUUGUCCCGGUUUAAGCGUGUAGGCUGGUUUUCCAGGCAAAUCCGGAAAAUCAAGGCUGAGGCGUGAUGACGAGGCACUACGGUGCUGAAGCAACAAAUGCCCUGCUUCCAGGAAAAGCCUCUAAGCAUCAGGUAACAUCAAAUCGUACCCCAAACCGACACAGGUGGUCAGGUAGAGAAUACCAAGGCGCUUGAGAGAACUCGGGUGAAGGAACUAGGCAAAAUGGUGCCGUAACUUCGGGAGAAGGCACGCUGAUAUGUAGGUGAAGUCCCUCGCGGAUGGAGCUGAAAUCAGUCGAAGAUACCAGCUGGCUGCAACUGUUUAUUAAAAACACAGCACUGUGCAAACACGAAAGUGGACGUAUACGGUGUGACGCCUGCCCGGUGCCGGAAGGUUAAUUGAUGGGGUUAGCCGCAAGGCGAAGCUCUUGAUCGAAGCCCCGGUAAACGGCGGCCGUAACUAUAACGGUCCUAAGGUAGCGAAAUUCCUUGUCGGGUAAGUUCCGACCUGCACGAAUGGCGUAAUGAUGGCCAGGCUGUCUCCACCCGAGACUCAGUGAAAUUGAACUCGCUGUGAAGAUGCAGUGUACCCGCGGCAAGACGGAAAGACCCCGUGAACCUUUACUAUAGCUUGACACUGAACAUUGAGCCUUGAUGUGUAGGAUAGGUGGGAGGCUUAGAAGUGUGGACGCCAGUCUGCAUGGAGCCGACCUUGAAAUACCACCCUUUAAUGUUUGAUGUUCUAACGUUGACCCGUAAUCCGGGUUGCGGACAGUGUCUGGUGGGUAGUUUGACUGGGGCGGUCUCCUCCUAAAGAGUAACGGAGGAGCACGAAGGUUGGCUAAUCCUGGUCGGACAUCAGGAGGUUAGUGCAAUGGCAUAAGCCAGCUUGACUGCGAGCGUGACGGCGCGAGCAGGUGCGAAAGCAGGUCAUAGUGAUCCGGUGGUUCUGAAUGGAAGGGCCAUCGCUCAACGGAUAAAAGGUACUCCGGGGAUAACAGGCUGAUACCGCCCAAGAGUUCAUAUCGACGGCGGUGUUUGGCACCUCGAUGUCGGCUCAUCACAUCCUGGGGCUGAAGUAGGUCCCAAGGGUAUGGCUGUUCGCCAUUUAAAGUGGUACGCGAGCUGGGUUUAGAACGUCGUGAGACAGUUCGGUCCCUAUCUGCCGUGGGCGCUGGAGAACUGAGGGGGGCUGCUCCUAGUACGAGAGGACCGGAGUGGACGCAUCACUGGUGUUCGGGUUGUCAUGCCAAUGGCACUGCCCGGUAGCUAAAUGCGGAAGAGAUAAGUGCUGAAAGCAUCUAAGCACGAAACUUGCCCCGAGAUGAGUUCUCCCUGACUCCUUGAGAGUCCUGAAGGAACGUUGAAGACGACGACGUUGAUAGGCCGGGUGUGUAAGCGCAGCGAUGCGUUGAGCUAACCGGUACUAAUGAACCGUGAGGCUUAACCUUACAACGCCGAAGGUGUUU
Molecule: ribosomal RNA, 2859 nt
Filed under: Escherichia coli
Lineage: Bacteria; Pseudomonadati; Pseudomonadota; Gammaproteobacteria; Enterobacterales; Enterobacteriaceae
Description: bacterial LSU rRNA
Rfam family: Bacterial large subunit ribosomal RNA
Source: RNAcentral